This 392-nucleotide long non-coding RNA is filed under the name Mus spicilegus (steppe mouse). RNAcentral's name for it is "lncRNA (ENSMSIG00000023365.1)". The record is from RNAcentral. Lineage: Eukaryota; Metazoa; Chordata; Mammalia; Rodentia; Muridae.
CGACCCCUCCCCAAUCAGGCUCUCCCACCUAUAGGCUCCGAGGGCACCAAGGGCACCGACUACCCCUUUGAGACAAGUCGGCCAGGCCCCCGCUCCUCCCCGGACCAGCCCCUCCUCCCUCGGGCAGCCUGGGAUUGGCGGGCCGGGGGCGGGCCAGGGGCGGGGCCGGGCACCCUUCAUCCCCUGCUGCUGCAGUUGCCGCUGCAGCCCUGCGCUCAGCCUGGAGCAGAGCGGAUCUCACCCUGUGGAACGGAGUGUGCUGAACGUGCCCACCACGAGGCCAGGAAGGGGCCCCGUGGGAAGAGUUCUAUUGUAGACAUCACCAGGAACUGGGUCCCACAGAGUAGUGUGACCGGUGAAAGCAUACUGAAGAGGUGGGCCUUUGACUUUGG